Molecule: ribosomal RNA, 119 nt
Filed under: Pteropus alecto (black flying fox)
Lineage: Eukaryota; Metazoa; Chordata; Mammalia; Chiroptera; Pteropodidae
Also listed under: 1 other name
Source: RNAcentral
GUCUACGGCCAUGCCACCCUGAACAAGCCCGAUCCCGUCUGAUCUCAGAAGCGAGGCAGGGUCAGGCCUGGUUAGUACUUGGAUGGGAGACCACCUAGGAAGACCAGGUGCUGUAGGAA